UACGUAGGGGGCGCGCGUUAAUCGGAAUUACUGGGCGUAAAGCGUGCGCAGGCGGUUGGGUAAGACAGAUGUGAAAUUCCCGGGCUUAACCUGGGAACUGCACUUGUGACUGCCAGGCUAGAGUGCGGCAGAGGGGAGUGGAAUUCCGCGUGUAGCAGUGAAAUGCGUAGAUAUGCGGAGGAACACCGAUGGCGAAGGCAACUUCCUGGGACUGCACUGACGCUCAUGCACGAAAGCGUGGGGAGCAAACAGG
This 253-nucleotide ribosomal RNA is filed under the name uncultured bacterium. Its description in RNAcentral is "partial 16S ribosomal RNA". It matches the Rfam family "Bacterial small subunit ribosomal RNA", at positions 524 to 776 of the family's 1533-position model. The record is from RNAcentral.